GGUAAAUACCUAGGAGUGGAAUUGUGGAAUCAUAUGAACAAAGUCAGAGGAACCAACUGCUGGCUGUUGUUCAUUGGCUAAUUUUUGUCAAGACUAUCCUUUCUGGAACUAUUCUGGGUGUUCUCUGAAGAGUGGAGAAUGUACCCUACAAUUAGCUGGGCUUCCUGUGCCUCUGCCACAUGGCCAAGAAUUUCACCCAGAUGGUUGCCGGUCCAAGCAGUAGGAGAGAUGUGGAGCAGACCUGGGCUUAAUCUGCAGCCUAAAGCUAGGUAGGCCCAGCUGACCUAGAGACACUGGAUAGAUGUUGGUUGCUAUAAGCAUUGAAUUGUGGUUUGUUUUGUUAUGCAAUACAUUGCAGUGAUAGCUGUUAAUGCAGUGGGACUCUAAAUGGCCAAGUUCAAUCCAUGUGCUCAUUCCUGAAUUUGUUACAAUGGCUGGUACCUUAACUGGCCAGGCUUGGAUUACCUUCCACUUCUUCCUUCUCUUCCACCUCCCCAAAAAACUGAGGUUGGCUGAGGAAUGGGGUUACAGGUAUUAAAAUUUGAUCCUGUGAUAUGGGAGAAGAGUUACUCCAAAAGA
Long non-coding RNA from Lontra canadensis (Northern American river otter), 579 nucleotides. RefSeq lists it as uncharacterized. The record is from RefSeq and is a predicted model, not a curated record. The transcript has 3 exons. Lineage: Eukaryota; Metazoa; Chordata; Mammalia; Carnivora; Mustelidae.